GAUGAGCGCUGGCGGCGUGCCUAAUACAUGCAAGUCGAGCGAACAGAUGAGGAGCUUGCUCCUCUGACGUUAGCGGCGGACGGGUGAGUAACACGUGGAUAACCUACCUAUAAGACUGGGAUAACUUCGGGAAACCGGAUCUAAUACCGUAUAAUAUAUUGAACCGCAUGGUUCAAUAGUGAAAGACGGUUUUGCUGUCACUUAUAGAUGGAUCCGCGCCGCAUUAGCUAGUUGGUAAGGUAACGGCUUACCAAGGCAACGAUGCGUAGCCGACCUGAGAGGGUGAUCGGCCACACUGGAACUGAGACACGGUCCAGACUCCUACGGGAGGCAGCAGUAGGGAAUCUUCCGCAAUGGGCGAAAGCCUGACGGAGCAACGCCGCGUGAGUGAUGAAGGUCUUCGGAUCGUAAAACUCUGUUAUUAGGGAAGAACAAAUGUGUAAGUAACUAUGCACGUAUUGACGGUAACUAAUCAGAAAGCCACGGCUAACUACGUG
RNAcentral lists this ribosomal RNA (497 nucleotides) under uncultured bacterium. RNAcentral's name for it is "partial 16S ribosomal RNA". It matches the Rfam family "Bacterial small subunit ribosomal RNA", at positions 28 to 507 of the family's 1533-position model. The record is from RNAcentral.